UACGUAGGGAGCAAGCGUUAUCCGGAUUUACUGGGUGUAAAGGGCGUGUAGGCGGGCUUGCAAGUUGGAAGUGAAAUCUCGGGGCUUAACCCCGAAACUGCUUUCAAAACUGCGAGUCUUGAGUGAUGGAGAGGCAGGCGGAAUUCCCAGUGUAGCGGUGAAAUGCUUAGAUACCCUCAAGAACACCGAUUGCGUAGGCAGCUAACUAGGCCAUAACUGACGCUGAGGCACGAAAGCGUGGGGAGCGAACAGG
Molecule: ribosomal RNA, 253 nt
Filed under: uncultured bacterium
Lineage: Bacteria
Description: partial 16S ribosomal RNA
Rfam family: Bacterial small subunit ribosomal RNA
Source: RNAcentral